Molecule: ribosomal RNA, 397 nt
Filed under: uncultured bacterium
Lineage: Bacteria
Description: partial 16S ribosomal RNA
Rfam family: Bacterial small subunit ribosomal RNA
Source: RNAcentral
AUACGUAGGGGGCGAGCGUUGUCCGGAAUGAUUGGGCGUAAAGGGCGCGUAGGCGGCCCGGUAAGUCUGGAGUGAAAGUCCUGUUUUCAAGAUGGGAAUUGCUUUGGAUACUGUCGGGCUUGAGUGCAGGAGAGGUAAGUGGAAUUCCCAGUGUAGCGGUGAAAUGCGUAGAGAUUGGGAGGAACACCAGUGGCGAAGGCGACUUACUGGACUGUAACUGACGCUGAGGCGCGAAAGUGUGGGGAGCAAACAGGAUUAGAUACCCUGGUAGUCCACACUGUAAACGAUGAAUGCUAGGUGUAGGGGGUAUCGACCCCUUCUGUGCCGCAGUCAACACAAUAAGCAUUCCGCCUGGGGAGUACGGCCGCAAGGUUGAAACUCAAAUGAAUUGACGGGG